RNAcentral lists this microRNA (23 nucleotides) under Melibe leonina. Its description in RNAcentral is "mle-miR-193-5p". Its record names the gene mle-miR-193-5p. Lineage: Eukaryota; Metazoa; Mollusca; Gastropoda; Nudibranchia; Dendronotidae. The record is from miRBase by way of RNAcentral.
UGAGGUUUUGUUUGCCAGAUAUG